Pieris brassicae (large cabbage white) is the source of this 359-nucleotide long non-coding RNA. RefSeq lists it as uncharacterized. The transcript has 2 exons. The record is from RefSeq and is a predicted model, not a curated record. Lineage: Eukaryota; Metazoa; Arthropoda; Insecta; Lepidoptera; Pieridae.
GAGUGUAACACGACCAGUGUGAAAGUUUUUUGAUGUUCGAAUAAUGAGAUUGUAUUUCUAAGAAGAUCUGGCACAGAGUUGGAGAUGUACCUCUCAGGAGAUCAUUUGGUGAAGUGAGUGGACCAUCUAUAUUGAUUGGAUCAGAUAUGAGAGAAAUGAAGCUAUCAACACAACUUCUUCCUCUGCGAAAUCCAUAUUGAAUGUGUGGAAUGACAUCAUUGGAUUCUGCAUACCAGUCAAGUCGAGAUUUCACCAUAUUUUCAAAUAUUUUUCCAAUACAUGAUGAUAACGAGAUUGGACGAUAAGAACUGAUCUGUUCAGGUGACUUAUCUGGUUUUAAUAUAGGUAUUACACAUUGA